Molecule: ribosomal RNA, 425 nt
Filed under: bacterium Ellin6065
Lineage: Bacteria; Pseudomonadati; Bacteroidota; Cytophagia; Cytophagales; Cytophagaceae
Description: bacterial SSU rRNA
Rfam family: Bacterial small subunit ribosomal RNA
Source: RNAcentral
UAAUACAUGCAAGUCGAACGGUCAGUAGCAAUACUGAUAGUGGCGCACGGGUGCGUAACACGUAACUAACCUACCCAUCAUUGGGGGAUAGCCCGCCGAAAGGCGGAUUAAUACCGCAUAAGACUAUAGAGCGGCAUCGCUUAGUAGUUAAAGAUUUAUUGAUGAUGGAUGGGGUUGCGGGUCAUUAGCUAGUUGGUAAGGUAACGGCUUACCAAGGCGACGAUGACUAGGGGAGCUGAGAGGCUGGUCCCCCACACGGGCACUGAGAUACGGGCCCGACUCCUACGGGAGGCAGCAGUAGGGAAUAUUGGGCAAUGGGCGAGAGCCUGACCCAGCCAUGCCGCGUGCAGGAAGAAGGCUUUCUGAGUCGUAAACUGCUUUUGACAGGGAAGAAUAAGCUUCACGUGUGAAGUGAUGACGGUACC